This 73-nucleotide transfer RNA is filed under the name Agrilus planipennis (emerald ash borer). It matches the Rfam family "tRNA". From Rfam's summary of the family: Transfer RNA (tRNA) molecules are approximately 80 nucleotides in length. Their secondary structure includes four short double-helical elements and three loops (D, anti-codon, and T loops). Lineage: Eukaryota; Metazoa; Arthropoda; Insecta; Coleoptera; Buprestidae. The record is from Rfam by way of RNAcentral.
CCUUUCGUAGCUUGGUAGUUAGAGCAGUGGCAUGUAAAGCCAAAGGUUCAGGGUUCGAAUCCUGGCGACGGUA